CAGGGAGACAACAAAAUGUUUAAUAUUAUUAUUUUGUCACCUUAGGUCGAUCGGUAUCUCACGUUCUUAAUUUUUAAGAAUUUCAUUUCCUAAGUUUUUCUAGGUCACACCCAUUAUUUUCCCUGGGCCAUUAGCUCAGGUGGUUAGAGCGCACCCCUGAUAAGGGUGAGGUCCCUGGUUCAAGUCCAGGAUGGCCCAUAUCUCUAUGUUGGGGGUAUAGCUCAGUUGGUAGAGCGCCUGCUUUGCAAGCAGGAUGUCAGCGGUUCGAGUCCGCUUACCUCCACUGAUUACCACCUCUUCCAUAAUCUGUAGAAGGGAAAAAUUUUGAGUUUUGAUUAUUAUUCUGAACGAAUCUAGCUUCCUAAUGAAAUCAUUAAGAUGCUGGACUCAUUGAAUUAAUUUCAUUGUUUUCAGAGAACCUUGACAACUGCAUAGAUUAUUUUUAAAGACAAUAAGCAUCUUUAAUGAUGCAGAUUUAUUAUUUGUGCAAAUGCAUUAAUAACAAUUCUAUUGAGCUGAUGCUUCAAUUUUGAAGUUAUU
Molecule: transfer RNA, 540 nt
Filed under: uncultured cyanobacterium
Lineage: Bacteria; Bacillati; Cyanobacteriota
Description: partial 16S-23S ribosomal RNA intergenic spacer
Rfam family: tRNA (bases 211-283)
Source: RNAcentral